UCCAGGGUAGCCUAGUGGACAUGGAAUCUGCCCGGUAAGCGGAACAUUGUAGGUUCGAUUCCCAUCCCUGGAC
RNAcentral lists this transfer RNA (73 nucleotides) under Cordylochernes scorpioides. RNAcentral describes it as "tRNA-Thr". It matches the Rfam family "tRNA". Rfam says of the family: Transfer RNA (tRNA) molecules are approximately 80 nucleotides in length. Their secondary structure includes four short double-helical elements and three loops (D, anti-codon, and T loops). Lineage: Eukaryota; Metazoa; Arthropoda; Arachnida; Pseudoscorpiones; Chernetidae. The record is from RNAcentral.